This 434-nucleotide ribosomal RNA is filed under the name uncultured Ruminococcus sp. Its description in RNAcentral is "partial 16S ribosomal RNA". It matches the Rfam family "Bacterial small subunit ribosomal RNA", at positions 341 to 792 of the family's 1533-position model. Lineage: Bacteria; Bacillati; Bacillota; Clostridia; Eubacteriales; Oscillospiraceae. The record is from RNAcentral.
ACGGGAGGCAGCAGUGGGGAAUAUUGCACAAUGGGCGCAAGCCUGAUGCAGCGAUGCCGCGUGAGUGAAGAAGGUUUUCGGAUUGUAAACCUCCGUCAUCGGGGACGAUAAUGACUGUACCCGAGAAGUAAGCUCCGGCUAACUACGUGCCAGCAGCCGCGGUAAUACGUAGGGAGCGCGCGUUAUCCGGAAUUACUGGGUGUAAAGGGAGUGUAGGCGGGACUGUAAGUCAGAUGUGAAAUAUACCGGCUCAACUGGUAGACUGCAUUUGAAACUGCGGUUCUGAAGUGAAGUAGAGGUAAGCGGAAUUCCUAGUGUAGCGGUGAAAUGCGUAGAUAUUAGGAGGAACAUCAGUGGCGAAGGCGGCUUACUGGGCUUUAACUGACGCUGAGGCUCGAAAGCGUGGGGAGCAAACAGGAUUAGAUACCCUGGUA